RNAcentral lists this ribosomal RNA (524 nucleotides) under uncultured bacterium. RNAcentral describes it as "partial 16S ribosomal RNA". It matches the Rfam family "Bacterial small subunit ribosomal RNA", at positions 28 to 523 of the family's 1533-position model. The record is from RNAcentral.
GACGAACGCUGGCGGCGUGCCUAAUACAUGCAAGUCGAACGCUUCUUUCCUCCCGAGUGCUUGCACUCAAUUGGAAAGAGGAGUGGCGGACGGGUGAGUAACACGUGGGUAACCUACCCAUCAGAGGGGGAUAACACUUGGAAACAGGUGCUAAUACCGCAUAACAGUUUAUGCCGCAUGGCAUAAGAGUGAAAGGCGCUUUUGGGUGUCGCUGAUGGAUGGACCCGCGGUGCAUUAGCUAGUUGGUGAGGUAACGGCUCACCAAGGCCACGAUGCAUAGCCGACCGGAGAGGGUGAUCGGCCACACUGGGACUGAGACACGGCCCAGACUCCUACGGGAGGCAGCAGUAGGGAAUCUUCGGCAAUGGACGGAAGUCUGACCGAGCAACGCCGCGUGAGUGAAGAAGGUUUUCGGAUCGUAAAACUCUGUUGUUAGAGAAGAACAAGGACGUUAGUAACUGAACGUCCCCUGACGGUAUCUAACCAGAAAGCCACGGCUAACUACGUGCCAGCCGCCGCAGUAA